GGGGGUGUUAGGGCACGACACCGGAGAGGGAGCCUGAGAACGGCUACCACAUCCAAGGAUGGCAGCAGGCGCGCAAAUUACCCAAUCCCGACACGGGGAGGUAGUGACAAUAAAUAACAAUACGGGGUUCUUUCGGAUUUCGUAAUUGGAAUGAGUACACUUUUUAAAUCYCUUAACGAGGAACAAUUGGAGGGCAAGUCUGGUGCCAGCAGCCGCGGUAAUUCCAGCUCCAAUAGCGUAUAUUAAAGUUGUUGCAGUUAAAAAGCUCGUAGUUGAAUUUCGGGACCAUCAUGUCGGUCGUGCCUCGGUACGUACUGGCAUUGUUGGUUUCUCCCUUCUGACGAACCAUGAUGUCAUUUAUUUGGUGUUGUGGGAAAUCAGGACUGUUACUUUGAAAAAAUUAGAGUGUUUAAAGCAGGCUCACGCUUGAAUACAUUAGCAUGGAAUAAUGAAAUAGGACGUUUGAUUCUAUUUUGUUGGUCUCUAGGAUCGACGUAAUGAUUAAUAGGGAUAGUUGGGGGCAUUAGUAUUCAUUGUCAGAGGUGAAAUUCUUGGAUUUAUUGAAGACUAACUACUGCGAAAGCAUUUGCC
This 591-nucleotide ribosomal RNA is filed under the name uncultured Glomus. RNAcentral describes it as "SSU rRNA". It matches the Rfam family "Eukaryotic small subunit ribosomal RNA", at positions 365 to 970 of the family's 1831-position model. The record is from RNAcentral. Lineage: Eukaryota; Fungi; Glomeromycota; Glomeromycetes; Glomerales; Glomeraceae.